UUUACACUAAGGUAAGAAAUACCAAUUUUGGGCAAAAUCCUAGAACUUUCAUUUGGGCUUUUGAAUGAGUUUAGCUAACGGGAAAAUUUGUAAGGAUGAAAUACUCAUUUGAAGGCAUGAAUUUAUGGAUCAAGAUGGGAAAUUAAAUUGGUUAAAUUAUGAUUAUUAAUUUUACUAGUUUGAAAGAAGGAAUUAUUUUUAUGUUUGGAGUGAAGAUUAUUGUAAUCGAUUAGCUAUUAAGAAAUGCACUAGAAUGUGGAAUUAGCAUGAAGUGAUUAAAGGAAAUUGGGGAAAAUAUUAUUCAAGUAUCGAGAAGGCAAGUUUUAGUAUUCAAUUACUAGUAUUAAGAAAUACUUAGUAUGGAAGUUGUUAAAUUAGUUAUUUUAUAUCGUAUGUCAGGUGGUAACGUGAAAGCUAGGCAAGGCUGGUAAAAUUGAACCAGAUUGCUAUUCAUUGAUCUGUGAGUGAAAAAUCUACGUUUUCAAAAAGAAGAUUUCCUUUUUAUUUUAUAGAAGCAUGUUAAUUACAUGAAAUGCCUUAUUUUAGAGAAUUAGUAAAUGAGCAUGAUUGCUUUGAAAUUAUCAUUAAAUAAUUGAUGUGAUUAUCUUACUCUAGUGUACCGAGGGGCUACGGCCAUGUACUAGAGUCAUGUAUUUAACUUCUAUAGACUGAAGGGCUACGACCAUGUAUAAGGAUGAUUAUGUUGUUUCCAUCUUAUACACUGAGGGGCUACAGUCGUGUACUAGAGUUAUGUAUCUAACCCUUAUACACUGAGGGGCUACAGCCGUUUAUAAGGGUAACUCUUAUCCACUGAGGGGCUACGGUCGUGUGUAAGGGUACCUAUUAUACACUGAGGGGGUACAGCCGUGUAUAAGGAUGAUUAUAUAUUUUUUAAUCUUGUAAACUGAGGGGCUACGACCGUGUACAGAGUGUUGAUCAGAUGGCUUAUGUGCAUAUAAUUUUAUAGCUUUCAUAUCAUCAGUAGAUGAUUACACGUAGUAUAUUUUGAUGUGAAUUUUAAGUAUUGACCGGAUUAUUAGCUUUCAACUUACAUUUUCCCAUUUACAGUUCAGCUUAUGAAUUUCAGAUUAUGAUUUUAGCUUAGUGAAUUUGUCUAAUGUUCUCACUCAUCUUGUAUUAAUUAUUAUCAUAUUUCUUUUAUAUAUCAGCUUGAGUCUAAUUUAUGAUUUAGCACCAGAAUUUUGAGUUUAUACGAUGUUAUGAUACAGACAUCAAGAAUAAUGAGUACAUUAAGGUAAAUGCAGCUGUACGUAUGUAUGACUAGAUUAUAGAAUUCAGUUAUUCAGUUCUAAGAAUAAAGCUUUCAAUUUAUAGUAUUGAGCAACAACAAUAUUUUAUAGAUUUUCAUGGGUACCAAAAUUUGUUAUACUUUACAGUUAUUUAUCUCGAAUAAAGGACAAAGAAUCUUAUGAUGCAGUCAUGUUUUAGUUUUAAAGGUUUUAUCAGAUUUCAGAAUUCUCAAAGUUUUAAUAGAGCAAGAAUUUGAAGAAAAUAUGCAUAAAUGGAAAAAAGUUUACUUAUUUGCAAAUUAUCCACUCAUUGAGCUAUUAGCUCAUAUUUCUUUUACCCUUUUUCCUUAUCAGACAGAUAGCAGCCGAGUUGAGCAGUUUUGGAGCUUGUCGAUCCACCAAAUUGAGCCAUGCUUCGUAGGUUGUAUGACUUUAUUAUAUUACACAGUAUAUGUUUCUUUGGGGUACAUGCAAUUAUGUUAGAAAUGUUAUCAUUAGUUCACUACAAAUUUGAUAUCUUUAGCACAUUUGAGGACUUUCGAUUGUAUAGCAAGUAAAUAUCGAAUUGCCAGCAUUUCAUUUGAGUAGUUUGGAUUUUGAGGGACUGGUGUACCUUUUUAAAUAUUAUAUGUAUUGAUUUGAGAAAAUUGGGUAAUGAUCAGGUGGUUUUAGCCCAUAUUUUAGAGGUGACUCUAUCAAAAAAAUUAAAAAAAUAUUUCACAAUCAAAGAAAGUCAAAGUUACCUUUGUGGCAGGUCCGACAUUUAUGUUGGUAUCUACCAUCGCAGUACGACACGUGUCGGGUCCAUUAAGGUGAUUUGGGACGGGUAGUGUCAAUUGGUAUCAGAGCAGGUUCAGUAAUUGUUAAACUCGAGUAACUGGCGUGGUGGCAGAACUCAUAGGCUCCAAUGUGGUAUUUGAAACUCAUAUUAUCCCUGAUUAUGAAGAUAUGACAGUUAAGAAACUAGAAGGAUCAUUAUUGAUUUGAGCAUAAUACAUAUGAGGAUGUUAUUUGGGAACUAUUCGAUGGUAAGGAGGGUUGUUAGAGUUGUCAUGUUGGUACUAUGUUAUAUUUUCUCUAAUAUAUUAAUAAUUGGGCUAUAUAUCUAACAGACAGUUAAUCAAAGAGUAGAACUUUUCUCAGUAGUGGAAUGCACAAUCACAUAAUUGAGAUUUAUUGAGUUAUGAGUAUCUUUUAUAACUAUUAGAAGGAAUGUCUUAUGGAUGCCUGGGAUGAUAAGUAUUGUCUAAUGUUGAUUUAUGUAUUGUUGGUGAUAUUACAAGGUGAAACCUUGCUUGCUUUGUAAAUGUAAAUAAUUGAGGCACUAUGAGAAUUAUUGUGGGAAAUUGUGAUCAUAUUUAGUAUAUGAAAGCAAAUGCAUGUAUUAGAAAGUCAAGAUGUGGAGAUAUAGUAAGGAAUCUUGUUCAUGACAGAAAUAAUGAAACCAUAUGAAAUGUUGAUUCACGACGAAAAUAAUGUUAUUAAAUAUGUUUUACUAUUGCGAUUUUGAGUAAAUUAAUGUGACUGUGGCCCUUUUUUUUGUUGAUUCAAGGACAAGUAUCUAGGUUUGUACUUCAACUACUAUUGAAGGAAAGAGGACUGGAGUUUAUGUUGAUAUGUGUGUAUGACGUGAAUAAGAAAUAGCGUAAAGUUGAAGAACGGGAGAAAACUGGCAUGAUUAAAUGUUGAGAUUAUACAGUAUCAUGAUAUCCAAUGUUACAAGGUUUUAUGAUUCUGAAUGGCAUUGUGAAUAGUAGUGCACUAAAUUUAUAAUUAGUGGUACGUCAAAAUAAUAUGGGGAUGAUAUAUUUAGAUUACAAAGUGAAAUACCCUUCCCAUGACCAUAAUUGGGAUUAUUGUGUUAGAUUAAAAAUUGAUUGAGACGACAUGUUAAAUUGUAAUUAUAAGUUGAAUUCUAUGAGUUUUGUGUUGCUAUUGGAUUACUAUAUCUGCAAUUAUAAUUUUGGAUUUCAUGAAUUGAGAAUUUCAUUCUCAUCGAAGUGAUAUGAUAAGAAAUUCAUGGAUGAUAGGUUACCUUAUUGUCGAGACUAGGAACGAAUGAUCAUUUUAGAUAUGAAGGUAACUUUAGCUAAGGUUAUUUCCUUGUAAUUUAUUUAUAGAUAUUUGAAGAUCAGUAAGGAUUUGGAAAGAUACCGUGUUAUCGAAAUCAUGGUAUCCUAGUUGUGGGAAAUAAGUUUAGUGGUCAAGAUGAUAUUUAGUAAGGAAGGAAAAAUAAAAUCUUGGUGUUAAUAUCUUAUUUCCUCAUUUGAGCAAAGAAAGAGACAGAGAAUAAGGAACAGAGAAGCAAUCAUAUUCAAAUUUCUUACUCUAUUUUUCGGCGUUCGCAAUUAGGUUAUGUGAAUAAGAAGUAAUUGAAAAAGAAAAGAGAGUGAUUAGCAUAUUUCAUGUAUAUUCAUGUAUGACUUGCGGAAUGGAAUGAAACUAUGAAAAAGAGAAAAAGUAAAGAAUGACAGAGUUGAAAUUUAUGGUAAUUGACAAAUUAGCAUACCGAAUGUUGAUGGUACAUUAGUGUGAAAAUCACUUGAUAGUUAUAAAGAGCAUUAUUUUUGUGAUCCUAAGGAAAUAGGAUAAUCAAAUGUUUGAAGUUAUACACUAUGAUCAUAAAUGACAAGGUCACGUGAUAUGGUAAAUAGCAAGUGAAGAAAUGUUAUAGUUACCCUAUAGCUAAAUAAUUUGAUGAGAUAUUUGGAUUAUUAAUUAAUUUUGUCAAAGUCAUUUGUGGAUUAUUAUAUUAUAUUACAUGCAAUUUAGAAGCUUCAAGCUAAAUUUGGAAGUUAAGGUGAAUUUAAUGGAUUUUUAGUAGCGUAAAGUUUGGGUUAUUUUCGAUUGUAUUUUUGGAUCUCACGAAUAAAGUAUUCCAUUCUUAUCGAGAUCUAUAUGUUGUGGAACAUAUGGAGGAUAUGUUGGAUAGUUUAAAGUCUAAGAUUAUCAUCACAUGUAAAUUUUAUUCAAUUGUGGAAUGAUAACUUUAGGUUGUAAUCUUAAUUGAAGGUCUUUGUGCAUUAUACAAGAAGGCUUAUGUAUUGGUGAUAAUUUAAUGCCCUUUUUAUGGAAUAAGAGUUUAGAAUUAUCAUGGAUUAAAUGUUAUUAUUGUAUCUUCAUAGAAAGAAAGAGCACCAAAAUCGUGUGGGUUUAGAAAUGUCAAAAGUUUUGCUAUCAUAUUGCAUUAUGAUGAAAUAUGUACUCACGUAUCUAAAGUGGAUGAGGGCUUGAUUUAUGAUAAUAGAUUAUGUAAGGUUUAGAAAGUAUUCUGAGAUAAAUGAUGAAUUAUGGAUUAUAUUAUAGAUUGUUAAAGAAACAUCUAUAUUUAUCUAUCAUCAGAGUUUAAGGUAUAUUUUUAUUAGAAAUGGUGGAAAUUGAAGUUAUGUAUAUAUUAUCAUUGGGUGAUAUAGAAUGAAAGGAAAAGAAUCCCAUAUUGAGUUAUUUCAAUUGUUGUUGGGGAUAACUAGAACUUUAGAAAAUCGUGAACAAUUGAAAUUUUGCAUGUAUUAUUAAUUUAGAAUCGGAAUAGUUAUGCUAAAAUAUUUUUAUUCUGGGUUCCAAUUACAGGAGACAUAUGGUAUUUAGAUCAUUUUUGACAAGAUCAGUAAAGGUUAAAGAUUUAAUUCAAACAAUAUAGUCAUGUUAUGAGGUAGAUUUAUAAAAUUAUAUUUAGAUAUUAUUAUUAUUAAUAUGGUGGAGUUUGAGUAUCUAUUUUUAGCCUAGUUAUGGGAAGUUAUAACUAAAUUACAGUGUACAGCUUCUUUUAAUAGAAUGUAAGAAGACAAGUCGACAAAAAGGCUAGCAACUAUAGUUUGUUAAUUAAAGGGGACAUUGGAUUAUUUUUUAAUUUCAUGGAAUCAACAUAUGAGAACUAGAUACAAGUUACGAUGUUUAAGGUUAUACUUAGAUAGUGAAAUAUUCUAAGGACAAUUAUUGUGAUGACAUUGGUGAAAGAAUGUUGUUCGGUCUUAGUAUGUAACCAUUGUUAUAUAUAUAUAUAAAGGAGUUGAUUAGAGAAUAGUUCAAAUCAUGACAUGAGAUAAAGUUUUGAAGAAUAUGAAAAGUAGUAUUUUGAAUUUCAAAUUGUGAAAUAGCUAAUUUUUUCUAAGAUUUGGUAAAAUGAAAAGCUGAGCAUAUCAUAGAUUGAUCUGUGAAUUGUUAUUUGAAAUUUGGAUCAAUUGUUUAAUGAUGGAGUUUACAAUGGGUUUAUCUAGUAUUUAAGAAUGUAUUAUCUAUUUCUAAGGCUUGGUGAAUAGAUAUCAGAUCUAACUUAUGCUUUAAGAUUACCAGUGAAGUUAAAGAGAGCUCAACUUAGGAAAAAUCCAAAUAAAGAUGAAACAUAUGAAAUAACGAAUUAUGUCUAGUUCAAGAUUGCCAAAAAAAUCAUUCAUCGUUUGCGUUUUAUGCCUUUAUGUGUUCGAAUUCUAGUUCUCUAAAUUUCGAGGACGAAAUUCUUUUAAGGAGGUAAGAUUGUUACAACCCAAUUUUUCUUAGUCAAAAAUCAAAGGUUGACUAGUCAAAGUCAAAGCCAAUAAGGAUUUAAGUUGAACAAAUAAUUUUCAUGGGACUUAGAUUGUAAUUUGGAGUACUUGAGGGAUAGAAAUGAUAUGAUAAAUGAAUCCAAGGAUUUAGUUUUUAUUAUGGGAAAAUGAAAGGACUAAAUGUUAUAUUAAAUUGGAGAAGAGGGACUUAUUUUGCAAAUUUGAGUUGUGCCCCAUUAAAAACCCAUUUCUUUCCAAUUCAUUUACACAAAUAUAUACACAGAGAGAGAGGAAACGGCAUUGUCUAGAAAAAUCUAGAAGAGACGAAGAGAGAAAAAAAAGAAAAAAAAAAGAAAAAGGAAAGAAAUAGAAGAAGAAGAAGAAGAAGAAGAAGAAGAAAGAGGUGGCCGUUCUUUCUAUGUUUCUGGUUUUUCUUAGUUCUUCUCAUCUUCAAGAGUGUUGAAGAAAGUGGAAAUUUGAGAUGAAGAAUGAAUUGGGCAGAAAAAAAAGGGCAAAAAGAAGGAGAAAAAGAGAAAGAAAAGAGGAGAGAAAGAAGAAAAGGAAGGAAAAGAAAAAGAAAGGAAAAGAGGUAGUGGCUAUUCCAAUUUCAUUUUCAAUUUGUCUAAUUUCUUUAAAAGAUAUGGUAUGUUUUAUGCUUAAAUUUUUAGAGUUUUGAUUUUAUUUGUUUAAUUUUCAGAUUUUAAGGAAGGAAUAUAUAUGUUUUCAAGUCAAUGUUUUUGAAUUGGAGAUGCUAUUUACACUAAGGUAAGAAAUACCAAUUUUUGGCAAAAUCCUAGAAUUUUCAUUUGGGUUUUUGAAUGAGUUUAGUUAACGGGAAAAAUUUUAAGGAUGAAAUACUAUUUGAAGGCAUGAAUUUAUUGCUCAAAAUGGGAAAUUAAAUUGGUUAAAUUAUGAUUAUUAAUUUUACUAGUUUGAAAGAAGGAAUUAUUUUUAUGUUUGGAGUGAAGAUUAUUGUAAUGAAUUAGUUAUUAAGAAAUAGACCAGAAUGUGGAAUUAGCUUGAAGUGAUUAAAGGAAAUUGGAGAAAAUAUUAUUCAAGUAUCGAGAAGUCAAGUUUUAGUAUUCGAUUACUAGUAUUAAGAAAUACUAAGUAUCGAAGUUGUUAAAUUAGUUAUUUUAUAUCCUAUUUCAGGUGGUAACGUGAAAGCUGGGCAAGAUUGGUAAAAUUGAACCAGAUUGCUAUUCAUAGAUCUGUGAGUGGAAAAUCUACGUUUUCAAAAAGAAGAUUUCCUUUUUAUUUUAUAGAAGCAUGUUAAUUACAUGAAAUGCCUUAUUUUCGAGAAUUAGUAAAUGAGCAUGAUUGUUUUGAAAUUAUCAUUAAAUAAUUGAUGUGAUUAUCUUACUCUAGUGCGCCGAGGGGUUGCGGCUGUGUACUAGAGUCAUGUAUUUAACUCCUAUAGACUGAGGGGCUAUGGCCGUUUAUAAGGAUGAUUAUGUUAUUUCCAUCUUGUACACUGAGGGGCUACGGCCGUGUACUAGAGUUAUGUAUAUAACUCCUAUACACUGAAGGGUUAUAGUCAUGUAUAAGGGUAACUCUUAUCCAUUGAGGGGCUACGGCUGUGUAUAAGGGUACCUAUUAUACACUGAGGGGCUAUAGCCGUGUAUAAGGAUGAUUAUGUUUUUUUCAUCUUAUACACUGAGGGGCUACGACCGUGUACAGAGUGUUGAUCCGAUGGUUUAUGUGCAUAUGAUUUUAUAGUUUUCAGAUCAUCAGUAGAUGAUUACAUGGAGUAUAUUUUGAUGUGAAUUUUAAGUAUAGAGUGGAUUAUUAGCUUUCAGCUUACAUUUUCCCAUUUACAGUUCAGCUUGUGGAUUUCAGAUUAUGAUUUUAGCUUAUUGAAUUUGUCUAAUGUUCUCACUCAUCUUGUAUUAAUUAUUAUUAUAUUUCUUUUAUAUAUCAGCUUGAGUCUAAUUUAUGAUUUAGCACCAGAAUUUUGAGUUUAUACGAUGUUAUGAUACAUACAUCAAGAAUAAUGAGUACAUUAAGGUAAAUGCAGCUCUACGUAUGUAUGACCAGAUUAUAGAAUUCAGUUAUUCAGUUCUAAGAAUAAAGCUUUCAGUUUAUAGUAUUAAGUAACAACAAUAUUUCAUAGAUUUUCAUGGGUACCAAAAUUUGUUAUACUUUACAGUUAUUUAUCUCGAAUAAAGAACAAAGAAUCUUAUGAUGCAGUCAUGUUUUAGUUUUAAAGGUUUUAUCAGAUUUCAGAAUUCUCAAAGUUUUAAUAGAGCAAGAAUUUUAAGAAAAUAUGCAUAAAUGAAAAAAGUUUACUUAUUUGCAAAUUAUCCACUCACUGAGCUAUUAGCUCAUAUUUCUUUUACCCUUUUUCCUUAUCAGACAGAUAGNUCAAUUGUUUAAUGAUGGAGUUUACAAUGGAUUUAUCUAGUAUUUAAGAAUGUAUUAUCUACUUCUAAGGCUUGGUGAAUAGAUAUCAGAUCUAACUUAUGCUUUAAGAUUACUAGUGAAGUUAAAGAGAGCUCAACUUAGGAAAAAUCCAAAUAAAGAUGAAACAUAUGAAAGAACGAAUUAUCUCUAGUUCAAGAUUGCUAGAAAAAUCAUUUAUCGUUUGCGUUUUAUGCCUUUAUGUGUUCGAAUUCUAGUUCUCUGAAUUUCGAUUAUGAAAUUCUUUUAAGGAGGUAAGAUUGUUACAACCCAAUUUUUCUUAGUCAAAAAUCAAAGGUUGACUAGUCAAAGUCAAAGUCAAAGACAAUAGGGACUUAAGUUGAACAAAUGAUUUUCAUGGGACUUAGAUUGUAAUUUGGAGUACUUGAGGGCUAGAAAUGAUAUGAUAAAUGAAUCCAAGGAUUUAGUUUUUAUUAUGGGAAAAUGAAAGGACUAAAUGUUAUAUUAAAUUGGAGAAGAGGGACUUAUUUUGCAAAUUUGAGUCGUGGCCCAUUAAAAACCCGUUUCUUUCCGAUUCAUUUACACAAAUAUAUACACAGAGAGAGAGAGGAAACGGCACUAUCUGUAAAAAUUGAGAAGAGAGGAAGAGAAAAAAAAAAGAAAAGGAAAGAAAUAGAAGAAAAAGAAGAAGAAAGAUGUGGCCAUUCUUUCUAAGCUUCGGGCUUUCCUUAGUUCUUCUCAUCUUCAAGAGUGUUGAAGAAAGUGGAAAUUUGAGAUGAAGAAUGAAUUGGGCAGGAAAAAACGACAGAAAGAAGGAGAAAAAGAGAAAGAAAAGAGGAGAGAGAAGAAAAGGAAGGAAAGGAAAAAGAAAGGAAAAGAGGUAGUGGUUAUUCCAAUUUCAUUUUCAAUUUGUCUAAUUCCUUUAAAAGAUAUGGUAUGUUUUAUGCUUAAAUUUUUAUAGUUUUGAUUUUAUUUGUUUAAUUUUCAGAUUUUAAGGAAUGAAUAUAUAUGUUUUCAAGUCAAUAUUUUUGAAUUGGAGAUACUAUUUACACUAAGGUAAAAAAUAUCAAUUUUGGGCAAAACCCUAGAGAAUUUUCAUUUGGAUUUUUGAAUGAGUUCAGUUAACGGGAAAAAUUGUAAGGAUGAAAUACUCAUUUGAAGGCAUGAAUUUAUGGAUCAAGAUGGGAAAUUAAAUUGGUUAAAUUAUGAUUAUUAAUUUUACUAGUUUGGAAGAAGGAAUUAUUUUUAUGUUUGGAGUGAAGAUUAUUGUAAUGAAUUAGCUAUUAAGAAAUGGACUAGAAAGUGGAAUUAGCUUGAAGUGAUUAAAGGAAAUUGGGGAAAAUAUUAUUGAAGUAUCGAAAAGUCAAGUUUUAGUACUUGAUUACUAGUAUUAAGAAAUACUUAGUAUGGAAGUUGUUAAAUUAGUUAUUUUAUAUCAUAUUUCAGGUGGUAACGUGAAAGCUGGACAAGGUUGGUAAAAUUGAACUAGAUUGCUAUUUUUCUGUGAGUGGAAAAAUAUAAAUAUUUUAAAAGUAUUUAUAAAUUAAGUAUAUUGUUAAAGUAUGUGCAAUUAUAUGAAACUAUGUGUUCGAAUUAUAUGGUUAUUAUGAGAAUAUCUUUUAUUAUAAUACAUAUGAGAUUUCAAAGAUUGCAUACGUUACAUUGUGAAUUGGAAUAUGAGAUAUGAUUUUGAGAUCGACCAGAAAAGUACGUGUGAUUAUAUAUUUCUUCUAGUUCACUGAUGAGCCUUGGUCGUGUUCUAUACUAAAUUGAGGGGUCUUGGACCGGAGAUGAAGGGGUCUCGACCAUGUAUAUAUAGUUUACUGAAGGGCAUUGACCGUAUUAUAGAAUUGAUUAUGAGAGUUCUUUGAGAUCGACCUUCGUUCACGGAGGGGCCAAAUGCCCGUAGCGAAAGUUCUUAACCCGAGGGGCAGAUUAUAUAUUUCAAUCAGAUGGUACAUUUUUGAUGGAUUUUUCAGCACGUUUGAUGUGAUGAGAUUAUAACAUGGUUAUCAGCUGAUAUUUAUAUCAUGAUUUUGAGAUGAUAUUUUACAAGCUUAUGUGAAUAUUUCACUUUUGGUUAUAAUUACAUGAUGUUAUUUUGUGAAUUAUUAAAUGAUAUGAACUCGAUUUUCGAUAGAAAUAUUUCACUUUUGGUUAUAAAGAAUGUAUGGUUGAAAAGAAGAUAGAGAAAAAUGCAUUUUGAAAAAAAUGACUACCAAACGAGGCCUAAAUGUUGUUGCAGUAAAAUUUUUAGUUAUUAGCUAAUUUGUCUUUAAAAAAAUAAAAUAAAAAAAUCAACAUUUAAAAUUUGAGAAAUAUGAAUAUUUUGUUGGAGAAUUUAGUACGUGUUCAUCAACCUCCUUAAAGAUCUUUAUUUUAUACAUGUCAUUUGAGGUUUGACAUGUUAAUAUAACUUAAAGUUAGCCAAAGCAUUUUCAAAUAAUUUUAAGUCGUGC
RNAcentral lists this long non-coding RNA (10554 nucleotides) under Olea europaea subsp. europaea. The record is from RNAcentral. Lineage: Eukaryota; Viridiplantae; Streptophyta; Magnoliopsida; Lamiales; Oleaceae.